Long non-coding RNA from Ruditapes philippinarum (Manila clam), 1035 nucleotides. RefSeq lists it as uncharacterized. The transcript has 2 exons. The record is from RefSeq and is a predicted model, not a curated record. NCBI's taxonomy places the organism in Eukaryota, Metazoa, Mollusca, Bivalvia, Venerida, Veneridae.
UUUUAUUAUGUCUCCCCCACCUCGGGGGGAGACAUAUUGUUUUUGCCCUGUCCGUCCGUCCGUCCGUCAGUCCGUCCGUCAGUCCGUCCGUCCGUCAGUCCGUCCGUCCGUCCAUUCUUCGUUUCCGGACGAUAACUAGAGUUCCUUUUGACCUACAGCCCUCAAACUUCAUAGGAUGAUUGGUCUUAUAGAGCUGAUGAUCCCUAUUGUUUUUGGGGUCAGUAGGUCAAAGGUCAAGGUCACAGUGACCGUUGGUCAAUUUCUCGUUUCCGGAUGAUAACUAGAGUUCCUUUUGACCUACAGCCCUCAAACUUCAUAGGAUGAUUGGUCUUAUAGAGCUGAUGAUCCCUAUUGUUUUGGGGUCAGUAGUUCAAAGGUCAAGGUCACAGUGACCGUUGGUCAAUUUCUCGUUUCCGGAUGAUAACUACAGUUCCUUUUGACCUACAGCCCUCAAACUUCAUAGGAUGAUUGGUCUUAUAGAGCUGAUGAUCCCUAUUGUUUUUGGGGUCAGUAGGUCAAAGGUCAAGGUCACAGUGACCGUUGGUCAAUUUCUCGUUUCCGGAUGAUAACUAGAGUUCCUUUAAACCUACAGACCUCAAAAUUCAUAGGAUGAUUGGUCUUAUUGAGCAGAUGAUCCCUAUUGUUUUUGGGGUCAGUAGUUCAAAGGUCAAGGUCACAGUGACCGUUGGUCAAUUUCUCGUUUCCGGAUGAUAACUAGAGUUCCUUUUGACCUACAGCCCUCAAACUUCAUAGGAUGAUUGGUCUUAUAGAGCAGAUGAUCCCUAUUGUUUUUGGGGUCAGUAGGUCAAAGGUCAAGGUCACAGUGACCGUUGGUCAAUUUCUCGUUUCCGCAUGAUAACUAGAGUUCCUUUUGACCUACAGCCCUCAAACUUCAUAGGAUGAUUGGUCUUAUAGAGCAGAUGAUCCCUAUUGUUUUUGGGGUCAGUAGGUCAAAGGUCAAGGUCACAGUGCAGUGGGGGAGACAUGCGCUUUUUUACAAAAGCAUCCUCUAGUUAUAUGUUAAGUCAAUUUAUA